Molecule: long non-coding RNA, 225 nt
Organism: Cyprinodon tularosa
Lineage: Eukaryota; Metazoa; Chordata; Actinopteri; Cyprinodontiformes; Cyprinodontidae
Exons: 3
Source: RefSeq, a predicted model, not a curated record
AUGGAUAACGUGACAUUUCUCCAAACUAUGGCGCAGGGGACGUUAUCCAACAUCUCAGCAUCUACUCACAGGAACACAGAUUUAGGUUUAUCAGCUCUGGGAAGAUCUUAUGAAAAUAAGAAACAGAAGCUGAUGCUGGAGCUGCAGAUGGAUUAUAAAGCUUAUUUGGCCAAGAAAACAGAUUUUAAAAGCCGUGUGCGUGACAGGCAGCACAAGGAUCUCCCA